Molecule: long non-coding RNA, 542 nt
Filed under: Polistes canadensis
Lineage: Eukaryota; Metazoa; Arthropoda; Insecta; Hymenoptera; Vespidae
Description: uncharacterized LOC106785028, transcript variant X1
Source: RNAcentral
GAGCGACAUCAUCCGGAUGGGACGGAACGAUAUCUCUAAUAACGUGCACGACGAUCGUAGUCCAAGCGAUGUUUCGCAUCUACUCUAUUCUACUCUACUCUACUCUACUCUACUAUCAUCUAACCUACGUGCGAUUACCAUUGUGUGAACGAUCCAACGCGUAUACUACGUGGGACUCCGACUAAACCAGAGGAGAUCGGAGUAUCCGGAGAAGAUCGAGAAACGGAGGUGGUGCGAAAGUAAAAGAGAUAGUAGGAAUUUGGUUUAAAGAUUGUAUAAGAUAACAAGGGAUGGAAAUAAGUAACGUAUGCCGAAAUAAAAGUUCACGUUCUGCUCCUUUUCAUCAAGCCAAACUGACAAAAUAGAAAAAGGUCAGCCAAACGAUACCGAGAUGGCCGUCUGUUUCACUCCGAAAAAUGUACUUUUCACCGUAGGACGAUAACUUGGAACGUUUAGGUGUUUCACCUUCCUGUCCGCUCCACCGGUGGCCAGGAUUCUGUCGACUGGAGACCAUUUUACGGCGUACACUUCUCCCUCGUGAG